This 449-nucleotide ribosomal RNA is filed under the name uncultured bacterium. Its description in RNAcentral is "partial 16S ribosomal RNA". It matches the Rfam family "Bacterial small subunit ribosomal RNA", at positions 29 to 523 of the family's 1533-position model. The record is from RNAcentral.
AACGAACGCUGGCGGCAUGCCUAACACAUGCAAGUCGAACGAAGGCUUCGGCCUUAGUGGCGCACGGGUGCGUAACGCGUGGGAAUCUGCCCAAAGGUUCGGAAUCACUCGGGGAAACCCGUGCUAAUACCGGAUGAUGUCGCAAGACCAAAGAUUUAUCGCCUUUGGAUGAGCCCGCGUCGGAUUAGCGAGUUGGUGGGGUAAAGGCCUAGCAAGGCGAAGAGCCGUAGCUGGUCUGAGAGGAGGCUCAGCCACACUGGGACUGAGACACGGCCCAGAGUCCUACGGGAGGCAGGAGGGGGGAAUAUUGGACAAUGGGCGAAAGCCUAAGCCAGCAAUGCCGCGUGAGUGAUGAAGGCCCUCGGGUCGUAAAGCGCUUUUACCCGGGAUGAUAAUGACAGUACCGGGAGAAUAAGCUCCGGCUAACUCCGUGCCAGCCGCCGCAGUAA